RNAcentral lists this ribosomal RNA (253 nucleotides) under uncultured bacterium. Its description in RNAcentral is "partial 16S ribosomal RNA". It matches the Rfam family "Bacterial small subunit ribosomal RNA", at positions 524 to 776 of the family's 1533-position model. The record is from RNAcentral.
UACGAAGGGGGCUAGCGUUGCUCGGAAUCACUGGGCGUAAAGGGUGCGUAGGCGGGUCUUUAAGUCAGGGGGGAAAUCCUGGAGCUCAACUCCAGAACUGCCUUUGAUACUGAAGAUCUUGAGUUCGGGAGAGGUGAGUGGAACUGCGAGUGUAGAGGUGAAAUUCGUAGAUAUUCGCAAGAACACCAGUGGCGAAGGCGGCUCACUGGUCCGAUACUGACGCUGAGGCACGAAAGCGUGGGGAGCAAACAGG